Molecule: long non-coding RNA, 1189 nt
Organism: Seriola aureovittata
Lineage: Eukaryota; Metazoa; Chordata; Actinopteri; Carangiformes; Carangidae
Exons: 3
Source: RefSeq, a predicted model, not a curated record
GUAAAAGCUGCAGUCCGAUAAGAAACACGACCAAUGACCAACCAUAUACAGAGCAAUAACUUCACAUGCCACAUGCUGCUCAGAGGAGGCGGAGGGAACCAUUUACCACCAUGAAGAUAUGAAGGGAUUAUAGCUUGGGUGAUGGACACUAAAUCAAACUAAAUAUGAUUUUAUCCAAAACGAUUUACAAGUGAGAGACAUCACUAAAGCUUCAGUGCAGUGGGAGACCUUGUCUCAGUGUUGCAAAUUGAUGCCAUGAUCACUCCAGAUAAGAUGGUCCCAGUCUUCAUUCAUCACAGAGGAAGCCUCCAACCAACCCCAAAACCAUAAUGAGCAGUUAGCAAAGACAUGUUGAAACAACUGUGAGAGGACUGGUGAUGGUGCAGAGGAAGGCCAACAGAGGAGCCGACGCUCAGACAGGAGUGAAGCUCAGAUACCGGCUUAUCGCCACAGCUGAUUCCAGCUCAACAGGAGGCAGAUCUGAGCUGUAUUUGAUGGCAGACGACUGUGUUCCCACACACAGGGAGGAGGCUCAGAUCUGAUUUGUCAUUUGUGGCUGGAUGUGAGAGAUGGAGGCUGUCGCUCUGGUCUGGAGAGACAGCACAAUGUGAUGUAUGGAUACAAUCAGUCUACUGCGUGUGUGUGAGUGUGUCUGUCUGAUUGUGUGUGUGGGUGUGUAUCUGGAGACCACAGGCACCAGAGUAUUGUUUCUGUGUGGGAAAUAACAACAACCUAUUACUAUGUAUAUGUCUAUCAAUAUUGUCAUAAAUAUUGAUUUAAUAAUUUUUUGGGAAAUAAAUAUCAUCUGUUGUCUUAUAAUAUAUCAACCAAAAAACUAAUACAUCAGAACUGUAUUACAAUGGGUGAAAGCCAAACAUUUAUGAUUGAGAAGGUGUGAGGGUGAAGAAGAACAUUAUGCAUGAGUUGGUUGUUGGCAGCGUCCCUGUGAAGAAAAACAAAAUAACCAGAAUUAGUAGGAAUAUCAGUAAAAUACAGCAGCUGAAAAGUCUUAAAUUAUUAUUGCUCCUGUGCUAAAACACCGUGUGUCUUGAGGCUACAUCCACACUACUUCGUUUUCAUUUUAAAACGGCGUUUUCAAACUAAAUCGAUCUCCCCUCCAGACCACUGUUUUAGCUCCGUGUCAGAAACGAUCCCCGUCCAUCCGAUCACCUGAAAACGCACCUGAGCA